AACGAACGCUGGCGGCGUGCUUAACACAUGCAAGUCGAACGGAAAGGCCCUGCUUUUGUGGGGUGCUCGAGUUGCGAACGGGUGAGUAACACGUGAGUAACCUGCCCUUGACUUUGGGAUAACUUCAGGAAACUGGGGCUAAUACCGGAUAGGAGCUACUGCUGCAUGGUGGGGGCUGGAAAGUUUCGGUGGUUGGUGUUGGAAUCGCGGCUUAUGGGGUUGUUGGGUGGGUAGUGGCUUAGCAAGGCUAGGACCCGUAGCAGGCCUGCGAGGGUGACCGGCCACGCUGGAAUGGGAAUACGGCCCGGACCCCUACGGUACGCAGCGGAGCGGAAUAGUGUACAAUGGGCGGAACCAUGAUGCAGCAACGCAGCGUGGGGGAUGAGGGCCUUCGGGUUGUAUUCCGCUUCCGCCUGUGACGAAGCGUGAGUGACGGUAAUGGGUAAAGAAGCACCGGCUAACUACGUG
This 468-nucleotide ribosomal RNA is filed under the name uncultured bacterium. Its description in RNAcentral is "partial 16S ribosomal RNA". It matches the Rfam family "Bacterial small subunit ribosomal RNA", at positions 28 to 507 of the family's 1533-position model. The record is from RNAcentral.